GACGAACGCUGGCGGCGUGCUUAACACAUGCAAGUCGAACGGAAAGGCCCUGCUUUUGUGGGGUGCUCGAGUGGCGAACGGGUGAGUAACACGUGAGUAACCUGCCCUUGACUUUGGGAUAACUUCAGGAAACUGGGGCUAAUACCGGAUAGGAGCUCCUGCUGCAUGGUGGGGGUUGGAAAGUUUCGGCGGUUGGGGAUGGACUCGCGGCUUAUCAGCUUGUUGGUGGGGUAGUGGCUUACCAAGGCUUUGACGGGUAGCCGGCCUGAGAGGGUGACCGGCCACAUGGGUACUGAGAGACGGACCAGUCUCCAACGAGGGGCAGCAGUCGGGAAUAUUGCACAGUGAGAGGAAGCCUGAUGCAGCGGCCUCGCGUGCGGAAUGACGGCCUUCUGGGUGUAAACCGCUUUCGCCUGUGACGACGCGUGAGUGACGGUAAUGGGUAAAGAAGCACCGGCUAACUACGUG
RNAcentral lists this ribosomal RNA (468 nucleotides) under uncultured bacterium. Its description in RNAcentral is "partial 16S ribosomal RNA". It matches the Rfam family "Bacterial small subunit ribosomal RNA", at positions 28 to 507 of the family's 1533-position model. The record is from RNAcentral.